Callithrix jacchus (white-tufted-ear marmoset) is the source of this 640-nucleotide long non-coding RNA. RefSeq lists it as uncharacterized. The record is from RefSeq and is a predicted model, not a curated record. Lineage: Eukaryota; Metazoa; Chordata; Mammalia; Primates; Cebidae.
UCCCUCAACUCACUCGACUCCAGCACAACUGGCCUCUUCUUUACUCCUCACAUGUAGCAAGCUUGUUCCUCUCUUGGGGCCUCUGACUUACCAUUUCUUUUGCUUGAAACACUCUCCCACCAGGUGCUUAGAUGGCUCUGUCAAACAUCUCACCUGCACAAAGAGACUUUCCCUGAACACUGCAUCUAAAAAAGUUCUCCUCCCAUCUGGCAUCGCCACUCCUGCACUGUCUCAAACUGACCCUUUGGCGCACUUGCUCCUUUUGAUACCGCAGUGUAUAUUUACUGUCUCUCUGAUUAUUGUCUGUCUUCUCCACAAGAAGGAACUCUGCAAAGGGAAGGAAGAAUCUACCAUGUGCUACUUAAUCCAUACAAUGAUCUGGGGAGGAAGAACUGUCACCCCUAUUUUGCAGAUGAAGACAUGGGCACUGAGAGCCCGAAAGGUCAGAUAAGAGCUGAUGAAGAAACUGAAGUACAAGGAGGAUAAGCAACUUAUCCAGGGCCACACAGCUGGCAGCGCCUCUGAAAAACCUACAGGUAACUGACCGUCAUUCGUGAUGGGAAGCCGUGUGGGUUCAUUAUGAUGUCCGGACAGAUGCCAGAAUCACAAAACGGCAUGUCUUCCUGGGGGACGAUCAAGC